Molecule: transfer RNA, 64 nt
Filed under: Urocitellus parryii (Arctic ground squirrel)
Lineage: Eukaryota; Metazoa; Chordata; Mammalia; Rodentia; Sciuridae
Also listed under: 1 other name
Description: Spermophilus parryii (Arctic ground squirrel) tRNA
Rfam family: tRNA
About the family: Transfer RNA (tRNA) molecules are approximately 80 nucleotides in length.
Source: Rfam by way of RNAcentral
AGUGUGGCUCAGGGCAGAGUGUGUGCUUAGCAUGCAUGAGGUCCUGGGUUCAAUCCCUAGCACU